Molecule: ribosomal RNA, 229 nt
Filed under: uncultured bacterium
Lineage: Bacteria
Description: partial 16S ribosomal RNA
Rfam family: Bacterial small subunit ribosomal RNA
Source: RNAcentral
UACGUAGGUGGCAAGCGUUGUCCGGAUUUAUUGGGUUUAAAGGGUGCGUAGGCGGUCUAUUAAGUCAGUGCUGAAAUACUCCAGCUUAACUGGAGGGGUGGCAUUGAUACUGAUGGACUUGAGUACAGAUGAGGUAGGCGGAAUUGACGGUGUAGCGGUGAAAUGCAUAGAUAUCGUCAAGAACACCGAUAGCGAAGGCAGCUUACUGGGCUGUAAACUGACGGCUGAU